Molecule: ribosomal RNA, 530 nt
Filed under: uncultured Ceratobasidiaceae
Lineage: Eukaryota; Fungi; Basidiomycota; Agaricomycetes; Cantharellales; Ceratobasidiaceae
Description: eukaryotic LSU rRNA
Rfam family: 5.8S ribosomal RNA (bases 195-348)
Source: RNAcentral
UUUUUAAAUUUUAAAUUUAAAAAAUUCAAAAUUGGGUAUGUGCACACCUUUCUCUUUCAUCCAUACACACCUGUGCACCUGUGAGACAGAUUCAGGGGAACUUUUUUUUUCUGAGGGGACCCUGCUGUCUAUUUAAUUCAUAUAAACUCAAUUUAAUUUAAAAUGAAUGCAAUGGAUGUAACACAUCUAAUACUAAGUUUCAACAACGGAUCUCUUGGCUCUCGCAUCGAUGAAGAACGCAGCGAAAUGCGAUAAGUAAUGUGAAUUGCAGAAUUCAGUGAAUCAUCGAAUCUUUGAACGCACCUUGCGCUCCUCGGCAUUCCUUGGAGCAUGCCUGUUUGAGUAUCGUGAAAUAUUCAAAGUAAAUCUUUUGUUUACUCAAUUGGUUCUACUUUGGUAUUUGAGGUUUAUUGCAGCUUCACACCUGCUCCUCUUUGUGCAUUAGCUGGAUUCUCUUGGUGUUAUGCUUGGUUCCACUUGGCGUGAUAAAUUAAUUUAAUCGCUGAGGACACUCUAUAGUGGCCAAGGUA